UAAAAAACUUGCAAUAGUAACCCUUUCAGAGUUUUGAACUCUGAAAGGGUUACAAAAAAAAGAACUUGC
Molecule: unclassified non-coding RNA, 69 nt
Filed under: Flavobacterium flevense
Lineage: Bacteria; Pseudomonadati; Bacteroidota; Flavobacteriia; Flavobacteriales; Flavobacteriaceae
Description: Flavo-1 RNA
Source: RNAcentral